This 465-nucleotide ribosomal RNA is filed under the name uncultured bacterium. RNAcentral's name for it is "partial 16S ribosomal RNA". It matches the Rfam family "Bacterial small subunit ribosomal RNA", at positions 28 to 507 of the family's 1533-position model. The record is from RNAcentral.
GACGAACGCUGGCGGCGUGCUUAACACAUGCAAGUCGAACGGAAAGGCCCCUUUGGGGGUACUCGAGUGGCGAACGGGUGAGUAACACGUGAGUAACCUGCCCUUGACUUCGGGAUAACUUCAGGAAACUGGGGCUAAUACCGGAUAGGAAUCCUUGCUGCAUGGUGGGGGUUGGAAAGCUUCGGCGGUUUUGGAUGGACUCGCGGCUUAUCAGCUUGUUGGUGGGGUAGUGGCUUACCAAGGCUUUGACGGGUAGCCGGCCUGAGAGGGCGACCGGCCACAUUGGGACUGAGAUACGGCCCAGACUCCUACGGGAGGCAGCAGUGGGAAAUAUUGCACAAUGGGCGGAAGCCUGAUGCAGCAACGCCGCGUGCGGGAUGACGGCCUUCGGGUUGUAAACCGCUUUCAGCAGGGGCGAAGCUUGUGGUGACGGUACCUGCAGAAGAAGCACCGGCUAACUACGUG